UGGAGAAUACUUAGAUACCUCGAAGAAUAUAUCAUUUUCAUAACAUCAGCCACAUUAAAACUGCUUCCACCAAUUCCUCUUACCGUCAUAAUUUGGCAGAUCCCCUUAUCAACAAGCUUACCCGCAUUCUCAAACACUUCUACCUACCUUCAAAUUUUGGUGGAUCCUCUUGUUAUCCCAUUUGCCAGUCUUCUCAGUCACGCUAUGAUCAUUCAGUCUUACUACUUGUCGCGAGAGUUAUACGAUGACUACCCCUUUUUAUGCCCUGGUGGGCUUCCUGGUUCUUUGUACUUACGAACUUCAUAUGUGGCCAUAGCCCUGCUAUGGUCUUACACAUUAUGAUCUCAUGUUUACUAUCCUGGUGGACUUCAUAUGUUGCCAUAGCCCAACUAUGAUCUUACACACUAUGGUCCCAUCUUUACUGUCUUAGUAGACUUUAUAUGUUACCAUAGCCCAACUAUGGUCUCACACAUUAUGGUGCCAUGCACCUAUGACUCCGAAGAAUUAGUAAACCUUUUUUGAGGUGUCACCUCGAAGGACCAAUCGAUAACCACUAUCACGGUGUUGCUCCAUAGAGUUGAUAGAUCGUCAUCACGGUGUCGCUCUUGCAACCGGUAGAUAACCAUUCCACGAUGCCGCCCAACUCCCUCAGCUCCCCGAACUAUUCGUUCGUUUCUCUAUUACGCUAACUUUUCCUAUCUUCAUCUACCUCGUCAAGGCAUCUCCCUCAUUACUCUGUAUUAAAUAACAUAUAUGCAUUUCACGUAAUUAAUUGUAUUUAUUUCUAUAGCAUACAGUAUGUCGUCCAUUAAUACAUCAACUCACAACUAAUUAGCAUACAAUAUACAUACUUGCAAGGAUACUCAUUCUUACGCAUCAUUAUGCAUACACAACAUACUCGUUCACCAUGUUCAUACACAACCACAGAUUCAGACAUCACAGAACAGACAUAGACACAUAUCAUUCAAGCAGUUCAAUGUUAUCAAUCACCCAAAGAUGGAGCAUAGAAACUCACCUAAACUUUUUUAUCCUUGCCAGCUUAGCUUUUCCAAAUGCUAGAGCCUCCAUCAUCCUGGACACUAAGCACGACAACCGUAUAUCAGUUAAAUCAAAAGAAUUCUAACUUUAAACCUUGAAUCAAAUUUCUAUAUAGGAGCUUUUUAGGGAUUAUUACUUCUUUUUCCUCUAAUUAUGGACAUAGAGGGAAUUAGGAGCUUACCAACUUACUGGAUUUUAUUUUUCUUGACCUUAGACCUCACGAUCACCACCCCACGCAACGAUUUUCUUAACUCUCCCUUCUUCGAAGCAACCGAAGAAGAUGAUGCAAAUGAGAAGGAAAUAAAAUCAAAAUUGAGAAGAAUUCAUCUGUUGAGUAAGGCUUCUCCCCUAUAUAUAACCCUUUUCGCAUGGUCAUCAAAGCCCCAAUUAACCACUCACCAAUAAUUAUUGUGCCUCCCACUAAGGGACCAGCUAUUUCUCUUUUAACUGAACGAGAAUGGAAACUUAACUAUUUACCAAUCAAUCACAAAAUUCCUAAAAUUUCCAGUAAAUCUUGCCUUCUUAUCAUUCUAUUCAAAUAACUCCUAACUUUCCUUUAAUUUUGGGGCAUAAGUGAAAACCGAGUGUGACACUUUCCAUCCACUAAGUUUAUUUGUUAAGCUUUAAUUCAUUUUACCAUUAUUUAUUAAAUUACCCUUUUAGCCCUUCCAUAAAUCAUAUAGCUAGCCACUGUCCACUACCCUUAUUAAUGAUCAUGGUCUAAUUGCUAACUUGAUCCUUGUCCCUUACUUUUAAUUACCAGUUCUUUGGCAAUUUUAAAUUUAACCACUUUUACAAUUUAGCCCUUAUACUUAAAUUAUUCACUAAUUUAAUAAAAUUUCUUAUUCAAAAUUUAAUUCACUUCUAAAAUAACUUUGUAAAUAUUUAGUUUACGAAAAUGGAGUCCCAAAAUUAGAGUUUUCAGCACUAUUGACUUUCGGGUUGUUACACAUUAGACGCAUGUUAAAUCUUUCAUGAACUACCAGUUUAAUAAUAUAUUUAAAGAUUAUUGCAUCCACCACAAAAUAAGAUUAUAUAUUUUCAUAACCAAUGCCAGGACUUAGCGAAAAGCUUCACAUUUCUUAUUUCGUUUUUGUAAAACUACUUCAUUUGUACCCUUACUGGCUUUAUACCUUUAGCUAUAUAGACUAUGGGUCCAAAACCUCUACAAAUUUAAUUGUACUUGAGUUACGUCUUUCAAUUUUGGUCAAUCUAUUCCAUAUAUAUAUUUCUUGACAAAUUUAUUCAAAAUUAUCAUUUUCUUUUUUUACCUCAAUAAUACUAUUGCAUGCAAAAUCGUUGUAAAAAAAAUUUCUAUUUCAUGGUUCCAUAUUUUCUUGUAUUGACAUAACUUAUCAAGAUCUCUUUAUUUUCAUUUUUUAUCAUUUUUAAGUACGUGAAUCCCUUUGAGAGUUUUAAUAAUUAGUUAUGUCUUAGGCCUCUUCAAGAGCACCUACCUCCACUAUAUGAUCAUUUAGAUUUAUUCUUUUCUUUUACAAGAAUUAUCAUCUAUCAAACAACCAUGACUCAGGCAUGUAUUACCUUUAAUUAGUCUAAUAAGUUUUCCUACUGGAAUUUCAGUUCAAAUCAAAACAUUAGCUGGUAUGUAACACUUGGUUAUUCUCAUCAAGUCAAUAGGUGCAUUUGGCAGUUAAGUUGUACUAAAGUGAAUUAUCUUUUUGAAUUUCUAAUUCAAAUUACUUUCUACGAGGAUCUACAUAAUGAUAAUUCAUUCUAUUUAAUCAUUUCAUCUAGCUAUUACCAUUUUUCCCCCUGAUGUUGGGAAAACUUGUUAAAUUAAAGUCCUAAUCAUCAAAUCAUAUCAUAAUUGAAUCUCCAAUCCGAUCAAAACAUAUAAUAAUAAGAGAUUCAUAAUUAGUAUAUAUUCCAAACAUUAUUUGAAUAUCCAUUUUGUGCAUUGUGGUGGAGCAACUUAAACAUAUAUCACACAUUUAAAAAUUCUAAAAUGGAAUGUAUUUGAAAAUUAAAAAGCCAACUGUAAUGAAAAGGAUUUAUCAAAACGUAUUGGCAUGAUGCGUACAAGUGUAGAUUGAUAUAAAAUAUCAUAUCCUUAUAUACAAAAAAAAAAUUCUCAACAGUAAUGGUUUAGCUAUUAACUUAAGGCAUUUAAUCAUUAAUUUUGCUAAACCAUUUCAUUCGUAUAAACAAUAGGCUUUUGCAAGUUACUCGCACUAAUAAUCUAGCAUAUAAUAGUCAUUGAAAGUAUGAGUAAUAAAGUCACCAACAUUAGCCAGACUUGUACCAAUUGCAUAAUCUGAAAGUUUUGUUCAUAAACAAAUCAUUAAAUAAGUAAUAUCAUAAACUACAAGUUGCGAGUGAUAACUCACAUGUAAUUAACUUGCAGAUGCAUCUACCAAAAUUAUAUCAAAAUAUUCACUUCUUGGAUAAAUGAGCCCAUAUUUCUUUCAGAAAUGUAAAAGAUUCAAUAUCAACUUUUGCUAGUGAGGUUUAAUAAAAAAAAUUAGACCAAGCAACACUUGAUAAAUGAAGAAUCUCCAGGUUCUUUAAUAAAUAUUCAUGUAAAUUCUUAUCUUGUUGCAUCAUUAUUGGUCAAGAUGGUCUAACUAAUCAUGCCAACUAAUGAUUAUAUUUGGACUAGUAAACUUCUUGUUUACUAUGCACAUGAUUCAACAAUACUAAUGUAUACUUCUGAUUUACCAUCACAUGUGAUUUAACUAUGCAAACAAAUAUACUAGAAUUGUAUUGAAGAAAACACUAAAUUAAUAAGUCUAGAGUUGGUUAUAAAUGUCAUAUUUGAAACAUCCAAAUAUAGAACAUUAGUUUCAAUAAAAUAAAAUCAAAGCCAAAGCUACAUGCAUUUGUUGCAAAUAGAUUUUAUCAAUUUACAAAAUACACACAAACACAUAUUUAAUUUGUAUAGAUAUAUGUGCAAAAUUAAGCAAAGCAUAGAAGCAUACCAUAAAUGCACAAUAAUUAAAAGUUGGAAUAUAGGAUGAAACUAUUCAUUUGAAUUCCAACGCAAAUCUUAUUAUCAGUCUCAACAUUAUCUUCACUUUCCACUUUUGGUGGUAAGAAAAAUUACUAUGACUACCCAUAUGACGAUUAUUACAGUUCCACCUACCAUGUCCACGAUUAUAUCCUUUGAAUUUGUUAUAUAUUGCUACAUUCACUUUAGGGAAUGGAGUAGAUCUAGUAAGACAGACUUAAUGUUUUUUCUUUAUUUAAUAACUUGUUAUUUUAUUCAAUCACAAUUAAACAACAUUUUUUCACGGUAUUGCUACUGUAGGAGCACAUUUAUAGCACGAAAAGUUGAAAAAGGUUUCUAACAAGUUCUUAUAGUAAUACUCUCCCCAUAUAAUGUUAAUUUGAGAACUUAUCCUAAAUAUUUUAAUGUUAUAUCCAUGUCACACCCUGAAGAAUGGGUUAGAAGAAUCAGGUCUUUUAAUCAGAGGUUGUGUCAGAUAAUAGAAAAUAGGGUCGUAAGUGAGUAACGUGAGUAUGUGAGUUUCAUAAUCAGGUUCUUUCUUUAUUUGUUAGCUCAAAACAAAAUUCAAUUUUGAAGUCUAAUUUGAAAAAAAUGGAUUUCAAUUUAUUUAGAGCCUAAUUAGAAAAAAGAAAAAGCUAGGAGUGACUAAAAGGGCAAAUUGCCCAAUUUUUGUAAAUUGGCUUUCAAAUAGCAACCACUCACGUCUUCCCCUCAUCUUUUUCCAUCAUUCAAAACAACAAAUUAUCUUAAACCAAAAUCCCCUAUUUUCUCCCUAAUUGACUUAAUCUUCGCGAUUUUCUCAUCUCCCACUCUAAAAUCUCUCCCAAAUUUUUAAGAAAACCCCCAAAAAGAUUAUCAAUUUCCUUAUUCGAUUUCCAAAUGAAUAUUUUGACAAUCAACCUUUCGUUCAUUCUUCUUCUUGAUAGAGGUAAAUUUUUGUUUCCUUAUUAAACUUUGAUAUAUUCUAGCUACUCAAAUCAAGUUUGAUUUGUUUAAAGAGAAUUUCAUGUUUUAGUCAAAAUUAGGGUCUUUAAUGGAUAAAUCUGGGUUUUCCAAUUGAAAUGUUGUUUGUAGGUAUUUUUUGACUUUUCUUAAUGAGACUAGAAGGUUUUUAAACUUGAUUUAAUCAAUCGUUAAAAUAUUUGAAGGAUUUAAUGAUUUUUUGUUCAAAGUACUCAUGAAUGUCGAAAAUUUUCAGAAACAUAAAUCUAAAAAUGAUGGAUAGUUUAAAGUUUGAGAUAUGCUCUUAAAUGAAUAACUAGGUGUUUGGAAUCGAUUUUAAGCAAUAGGAACAAGUCUAAAUUAAGAAAUCUGAGUUCCCGCUAAACUAGUCAAAAUUUUUGGUUUAAAGAGGAGUUAGGUAGAAUCUACGUUAAUGUUUGAUUUAUGGUGAGUUUAUGGCUGUUAAUUGUUUUUACAUAGUAUGUGGUUAAUGUUUGUUAAGUUUCAGAAUCAUUGGAGCCCUCUACGAGUAAGGCGAAAGGUAAGGAAAAGCUAGGUUUGAGCUUUUGGCUAAUAAGUGGAAACGUGAUUGGUGAGUGUCUUGAGUCACUAUUGGUAUGCACAAUCCGUAGCAUUAAUCGAGAGCUUAGGAAUUGCCUAAACUCUUAUCCUAUGUUCCGAGUGUAUGCCUUCUUUAUACUUUUGCCUUGAUAUAAAACUUUGCUUAAUAUAUGUCGAGUUAAGGAAUGUGAGGUUCUUAUGACAAGUAAUGUGUAUGAAUAUUUGGAUGCAAUAAAUUGAUUUUAAUGCACACAAAUGUAGUCUGAUAUGUGAUGGCUCAAUUAGCAUUGUUGUGGCACUUAAAGUGCAAAUAAAUGUGAAUUCGGUAAGCAUGCAUUGUGUACAAGUUUGUGGUGUAAAUUGAUGAAUAUGAAUAGAGAUGAUGUGCAUUAAUACAAUAAUUAAAUAUGUGUAAUUGUGGAUAUUUUUGCCUUGUGAUCUCUUGAAACCGUUGGAUAUAGUUGGCAUGCCAUAGAUGGAGAGAUAAGGGAAUGUCGAGCUAAGCUCCAUUCAUUAGGACAUGCUGGUAUGAUGGAGAGUGUUUAGCAACAUGCUACACUUAUGGGACAUGUUAGAGUUUUUGAGUCAUUGGUGGGAUGGAAAUUUAUGUAUCUAAUGUGCGGUGAUAGACUCUAGUUUUACGUUUCAUAAUCUCCAGUUGUCAAAUUAUCAUUAAAUGAUUUAUGUAUGAAAUAUGUCAUAUGUAUGUGCAUGUGAGUACUUAAGCUAAACAUGUGAGAUAAUGUACCAUGAAUAUGAUAUUUUGACUUAAUGAAAUAUGAAUGUGAAUGUGUCGUAGUAUGCUCUUGCUUAACAUAUGACGUUGUGUAUGCUUGUGGUAAUUUUGAACAUUCACUGAGCUUGUUUAAGCUCACACACUUCACAUUAAAAUUUUGCAGAUAAGUAGCACUUUCGGUGUGAAUGGUGUGGCCAAGGAAGUGAUCUUAGCAAGGAAAUAAACUUUUGAAUAGGUGGUUUUAUAAUUUUUGAACACUUUGAAUAAAGGCAUUAUUGAAUACUCAGGACACAAUUAUCGAUACCAUGAGGUUGGGAUGUUUUUAAAAAUUAACAAUAACCCAAUUUUGUAUCGAUACCCAACUACGAGUAUUGCUUGAAAUAUCAAUACUCUUACCAAAGUAUCGAUAAAAUGGUUUAAAAAAAUUUUGACAGAGAGCUAAAAAUGUAUCAAUUUUUACAUCAGUAUCAAUACCUAAUUUACUAUAUAUCAAUACCUACUAUUUUGUAUCGAUACCUACAUUGUUUUCUUUAGGACUUUUAAAAAAAUGGACCCUAUUUACGGAUAAAACUGUUUCUAGUGUCGUAUAAUGUUUAACUAGACAGGACCACCCUUUUUGAUUAUUGAAUGUAGUAGUUGUUGUUCUUAUUUGAAGCUAUCUGUGCAUGUGUAUAAGGGUCCGUUUGUUUACAUGUAAAAGGUUUUACGGAAAAUAUUUUCUGCAUUUUCCUGUGUUUGUUUCACAGAAAACAGCUUCGUCAACAGAAAAUGACUUACAAGUCAACGAAAAAUAAGCCUUUUUCCUUGUAAAAUGGCUUACCUUUUUGAAAAGCGUAAGUCAUUUUCCGGAAAAGAGCUUCUCAAUAGAUAAUUUUACUUUGAUAUAAAAAUUAACUUAAAUCAAGUUUAAUAUUAUUAUAUUGAUAAUAAUUUUUAUUUUUAUUUUUAAAAAUAUUUAAAAUAUUUAAAAUAUUAAUAGAAACUGUUAUAUUUUUUAAUAUUAUUAAACAUACGUAUUUAAUUAUUUAUAUUUAGUCAUAUAAUAAAUUAUUAAUAUAAUUUAUUAUUUUUAAUAAAUUAUUUAAUACUUAAAUUUUAUUUUAAUAGUAAAUUUUAAAAAUAAUAAUUUUAAAUAAUAUUAUUCACUUGAAAAAAUCAAUAUUAAUAUUUUAAUACUAAAUAUUUAUUACAAUUAUAAAUAUAUUAAUAAUAAAUAUUUUGUAGUAUAAAUGUUAAAUAUACUCUUCACAAUUUUGCAAUUUAGUUUCUGUACUUUUAUUUUCAAGAAUUUAGUCCCUCUACUUUCCAAAUUUGAAAAUCAAGUCAAACUACUGACAUUGUUGUUUUUUUUGUCAAUUUUGUUAAAGUCACAUUUUUAAAUAAAAAAAUACUCAGUUGGUAGUCAUGUAACUAAAAAAUAAUCGUUGCAAUGAACCUAAAUUUAACAAAAUAUUUUUAAUAUAUGUAAAAACAAUGUAAAAUAUAAAAUUAUAGAUAUAAAAUAAACUCAAUUAAACAAUGAAAAAAUAAAUAAAAAUCUCAAAUGUAUGUUUGUUUAAUUGAAAACGACUUUUAUGAAAUAUUUUUAAAGAACCUGUCAAACAAAAGAAAAUAUUUUACACAGAUUCAUCCAAACACCAGAAAAUAUUAGCUUUUCUAGAAAAGUAAGUUAUUUUCCAGAAAUCAUUUUCCAGAAGCUAUUUUCAGUGAAACAAACGGAGCCUAAGUUUCAAUAGCGAUUGUAGCAUCCUAUUACUAGGUUUUGACGACCAGGCCAGAUAAGGGGUAUUACGUUUGAUGGUAUCAGAGCCUAGGUUUUCUAAGAGUCAGACCUAAGUUUGUUAGUAUUCGGGACUAGGGUGUAACCUAUGUACCUAGAUUUUCAUAUUACUUAAACUGUUUGACUUGAAUAUCUCUGUUAAAGUUAUUGUGAAAUUGUUUUUUUUGGGGGGUAGGAUUGGGAACACAUUUCCUUUAUUUAAAUGUUUCCUUUCAGGAACAUGCCUUGGAUCAUUUCCCGCCACUCACACUCUUGGUUGAUUGUGUUUGUUAGAGUAGAUACAAUAUGCCUCGUAGACGUGUUAAUGUGAAUGGGAACGCUCAAGAGGAUAGUACAUCCUCUGCACCUCUUGUGAUGCCUCAUAGAGUAAAUGUACCAGAUGAGAGUGUUGGCCUUCUGAUGCAAGCCAUGAUUGGGGUAUUUCAGAGGAUUGUAGAUGCCAACCCUGCUCCUUCCAAUCGGGGACUGCCACUUGAAUAUCUGCGGGCAUUAGGCGAUAAUUUACUCGAUUAAAGGGAGUUGAUCCAACUAUAGCGAAAUACUAGCUUGAAAGUGUGGAGAGGAUCCUUGAUCAUAUGUCCAGUAUUGGCGACGAGAAGUUGGGAUGUACUAUGUCCCUACUCGACAGAGAAACCCACCGUUGGUGGAAUACAUUGAAGAGAGGUACUAUUGCAGACCGUUUGACUUAAGAUUAUUUAUUAGAAGUGUUUAAAAGGAAGUUUACGGGUGAGCAGUACUUGGAAGCCCGUAACCUUGAAUUUAUAGACAUGGUUCAAGGUAGUUUGACUGUGGCUGAGUACGAAUCGAAAUUUGUGUGACUCAGCCAGUACGUUCUUGAGAUGGUACUUACUAAGAGAGACUGAUACUAGUCGUUUUGUUUUGGGCUUAAUCAAGAGAUUACAGUUUAUUCGGUAGCUCAAAAUAUUGAGUUGUUCGAUGAGAUGGUUGAGAAAUCCAAAGCUAUUGAGGAAACUUUGGCUGAGCCAUCGUGCUCAGUGGUGACUGAAUCAGGGAAAAGAACCUUUAAUAGUUCUAAAAGAUCUAGACGACCGUCUAAGAGAGGCCAUGAUAUUUAGGGUUUUGAUAGGAGUGCAUGACACGAGUUUAUACCAAGUCAAUCUAAGCAGCAGAGCAGUAUGGUGGUUAGCAUUGGUGGGUUGUCAAGAGAAUCUGGAUGGCCGUAUUGUGGACAUUAUGAGCGUAGACAUUCUGAAGAGUGCCAAAAAUUGACAAGAGGAUGUCUCAAGUGUGGCUCUAAAGAACACUUGGUGAGGGAUUGUCCAAAUAGAGUUGAGGUUUCGUAGACUCAGAGUUUUGCACCUGUACCUGUGCAUGCUCAAGGUCAUGGCCGAGGUAGAGGUGGUAAUGUGGGACCGGUUGGGCAGUGGGAUGCUGCUCAUAUCGUUACUACUCAGGUGGAGACCGAAGGACCAGCUCGCAUGAAUGCUAUUAGGAAGUCACAAGAUUAGGAUUCUAUCAAUGAGAUUGCGGGUAUUUUUUCCUUGUAAUCAAUCCAUUUAUUCUCAUUGGUAGAUUUAGGAUCUAUACCUUUGUAAAUUUUGUGCAAUUUAACUAAUAAGCAAAGAAUCCAGAUAAAGGCUAUUAAAUUAGGAACUAUGAUUACGAGUUCUUCAAAUGAGAGAUCAUAGAGAAUAAAGGAAACUAAUAGUGAAGUCACCGAAAGACAGUCCAUGGUAGUGAAUAGGAUCUUCAUAAAAAACCCUAAAAAAGUUAAAAAGGAAUCUGAGUUGUGCAGCGAAAGCGUGGUGGUUGUUUUAAAGGAAAACAUAACAGGUUUUGUGAUUAAGUGAAUGAUGUGUCAUCAGGAAAAUUUCGAGGACAAAAUUCUUUUUAGAGGGAAAGAGUUGUCACACUUCGAAGAACGAGUUAGAAGAAUCGAGUUUUUUAGCUGGAGGUUGUGUCAGAUAAAAGAAAAUAAGGUCGUAAGUGAGUAAUUUAAGUAUGUGAGUUUCAUAAUCAGGUUCUUAAUUUAUUUGUUGGCUAAAAAAAUUUCAAUUUUGAGGUCUAAUUAGAAAAAAGGAAGAGCUAGGUGUAAUAGCCCGUUUUCAGUGAAAUCGGAACAGUGGUUUAGGGGCCACAAAUUCGAGGUCAAAAUAAAAUUUAUUUUAAUAUUAUUUUAUGGUCUACAAUAUGAUAGAAAUAUCAUACCAAAAUUUCAUUAAGAAAUUUUAUCGUUUACAUGUCUAAUUUGAUAAAGAGGGUCAAAUUGCAUAAAGUGCAAAAGUUGAAUUCUAGUAGCUAAAGGUAUCAAAUAGCUAUGGAAUUUAAAAUUUGAAGUCCUUAUAUGACAAAUAGACCAUUUAGAAGAGUUAGUAGAUAAGGAUGAUUAUUCAUCAUUAGAAAUUGAAUAAAGUAUUAGGGUUAAUUUUGGAAAGAUGAUAAAAUAAUGAUGGUAAAUGAAAUAAUUAAUUAAAUUAAUAUCAUUUUCAUCAUCUUUCCUAAAAUAAAACAUGGAAACCCUAGCCAUGAGAGUUGAGCUCAAGCAAGCUUAUUUUACUUAAUUACGUAAGUAUUUUGGUCCCGUUUUUAAUGAUUUUUAUAUUUUCGAAAUCGUAAUAGCUUAAUCUAGCUAUCUUGGGUAUUAAUUUGUAAAACUAUUAAAGUGUUAGGGUUUUCCCAUGGAUGAGUAUAGUUUAAUUAUGAAAUUUUAUGGUAGAAAAUGAAAGGUUGUUGAUAGCUAAAUAACUUCUGUAAAGUGAAUUUUGAUAAAAUUAUGAUUUAGAGACUAAAUUGAAAAGAUUAUAAAUUCAUGGAAAAAUUCUAAAUUUUAUGAAAUUCAUGGGCUACUGUUGUUAUAUAUGAAAAUCAACUAGGCUUGAAAUAAGGAUUAAAUUGUAUGAAUUUCAUUUUUUGAGCCUAGGGACAAAAUCGUAAUUCAAUAAAAGUCCUUGAAUGUGGAACUUGCUUGAAGAUCUUGUUCAUCCAUGAUUAAGGGUUAUUAUAUGUGAUUACUUGGCUAACAUGAUGAGGAUAUGUGUUAGGGCUUUUGGCCAAUUUGGUUUGAAUAUGCCUUGAAUGCUUACCUUAAUUGUGAUUAAAUGGUAAGUUAAAUUUCAUGUUAUACGAACUUACUAAGUAUUAAAUGUUUACUCUGUUUUAUUUUCCCUGUUUUAUAGUAAUUCGGAAGCUCAUUUUGGUUGGAAGCUGGUCAGAGCAACUUCACACUAUCCAUCGGCCCUUUUCGGUAUAUUUAGUAAAUCAAUUUUGGUUAUAAUGACACGUAUAGGUUAACUUGGCCAAUGAUGGCAUGCAAAUGUUUUGUUGUGAUUAGCCAUUUGAAUGGCUUAUGUUUGAUACAUUUUGAUAUGUAUAUAUAUGGCCUUAACAUGUUUGAUGUGUGUGUGAUAUGGUUGAAUGAUGGAAAUCAUAUAGGCAUAUUGAUGAUUUUUUUUGAGAUAGUAUAUUUGGUACAAAUAUGCAUAUAUGUGUAUUUGGUUAAUUUGGUAAGUAUGGAUACUUAGAUAUAUGUGGUGAUAUGUUAUGUAGAAGACUUGGUUUUGGCUUGAUUUGAAUGCCUUGUUAUGUCUUGUUAUUGUGUAAAAAUGUAAGUUAGGUUGAUGACAAUUGGGGUAAAAAAUAUGGCUUGGAAAAUGGUAUAUUUUUGUCUACACGGGUAGAGACAUGGGCUUGUGUCCCCUGCAUCUUUAAAAUUGCAAAACAGAAUUCUCACACUGCCUAGCACACAGGCGUGUGUCUUGGCCGUGUGACCCAAGUCAGAGAUCUCCUAAGUUUGGACUUGGGCUGGGACACAGUCGUGUGUCCUUAUUUCGAAUGCCCACACGGCCUGAGACACGGGCGUGUCUCUUGACCGUGUGAGUCACAGGACCUGACCACACGAGCAUGUGUCCCCUACACCUUUGAAAAAUUGUAAUAUUUUCUGAAAAAUUCUCUGAGUACCAAGUUUAGUCCCGACAUGUUUCUAAUGUCUAUUUUGGGCCUCGAGGGCUCACAUAAGGGACAAUAUGAUCAAUUUUGAUUGAUUUCUAAUAUGAAUGCUAAAUGAUAUGAAAUGUCUGUUAUAUAAUCUGUAAACUUUGGUAACACUCCGUAGCCUUGUUUUGGCAAAGGAUAUGGGUUAGGGGUGUUACACUAGGAGUGACCAUAGAGGCAAAUUGCCCAAUUUUUGUAAAUUGGCUUUCAAAUUGCAGCCACUCACAUCUCCUUAUCUUUUGCGACAUUCAAAAUAAAAUUUCUCUUAAACCCAAAUCCCUAAUUUUCUCUCAAAUUGGCUUAACCUUUGUGAUUUUUUCAUCUCCAAAACUCUGAAAUCUCUCUGAAUUUUUAACAAAACCCCCCAAAAAUAUUAUCAAUUUUCUCAUUCGAUUUCCAAACGAAUUUUCUGGAAAUCAACCUUUCAUUCAUUCAUUCUUCUUCUUGAUUAAAUUAAAUUUUUGUUUCCUUACUAAGUUUUGAUAUAUUCUAGCUACUCAAAUCAAUUUUUGAUCCGUGCCAAGAGAAUUUCAUGUUUUAGUCAAAAUUGGGAUCUUUAAUGGCGAAAUUCAGGUUUUCCAAUUAAAUUGUUGUUUCUAGGUGUUUUUUGACUUGUUUUGAUGAGAUUAGAAGGUUUUUAAACUUACUUUAAUCAAUCAUUAAGAGAUUUGAAGGAUUUAAUGAUUUUUCGUUCAAAGUAGUCAUGAACGUUGAAAUUUUUCAGAAACAUAAAUCUAAAAAUUUUGGGUGUUUUAAAGGUUGAGAUCUACUCUUAAAUGAAUAACUAGGUGUUUGGAAUCGAUUUUAAGUAAUAGGAACAGGUCUAGAUUAAGAAAUUUGAGUUUUGGCUAAACUAGUUAAAAGUUUCAAAAUCGUUGAAGCCCUCUACGAGCAAGGCAAAAGGUAAAGAAAACCUAGUUUGAGCUUUCGACUAAUAAGCGAAAGCGUGAUUGGUGAGUGUCCAAAGUCACUGCUAGUAUGCACGAUUCGUAGAGUUAAUUGGGAACUUAGGAAUAGCCUAAAAUCCUAUCCUAGUUCUGAGUGUAAGCCUUCUUUAUACUUUUUCCUUAAUGUAAAACUUUACUUAAUGUAUGUCGAGUUGAGGAACGUGAGGUUCUUAUGAUAGGUAAUGUGGGUGAAUAUUUGGAUGCGAUAAAUUGAUUUUAGUACACACAAAUGUGGUCUGAUAUGUGAUGGCUCAAGGAGCAUUGUUGUGACACUUAAAACGCAAAUAAAUGUGAAUUCGAUAAGUAUGCAUUGUGUACAAGUUUAUGAUGUAAAUUGAUGAAUAUGAAUAGAGACAAUGUGCACUAAAGUAGUAAUUAAAUAUGUGUAAUUGUGGAUAUUUUGGCCUUGUGAUCUCUUAAAAUCAUUUGAUAUAGUUGGCAUGUGAUAGGAUUGUGAGCACUCACCUUUGUAUUUUGUGAUUUGGGCAUUGAAGCCCUAGGACAAGUUGGAGAGAUAAGGGAAUGUCGAGCUAAGUUCAAUUCAUUUGGACAUGUUGGUGUGUUAGGGAGUGUUUGGCAUUAUGCUACACUUAUGGGACAUGUUAGACUCUUUGAGUUAUUGGUGUGAUGGAGAUCCGUGUAUCCAAUGUAUGGUGAUAGUGUCCACUUUUACAUUUCAUAAUCUCAAGUUGUUAAAUUAUCAUUAAAUGAUUUAUGUAUGAAAUAUGGCGUAUGUGUGUGCAUGUGAGUACUUAAGCUAAACAUGUGGGUUUGUUUGGAUAGCAGAAAAUAAUUGAAUGAAAAUGUAAUUAUUAGGAUAAUAAUUACUCUCUUUUGUAAUUAUAAGAAAAUUGUAAUUUCCUAGAUGUAUUUAGUUAACAGAGAGUAAUUAUAUCGUAAUUUCCUAUGUCAUGUUUGGUAGUACAAAUUGUAAUUACACAGUUACAUAAAUUCCAUUUAAAAAAAUAUUAAUUACUAUAAAAAUUUAUUAGUAUGAUAAAAAUAAUUUAUAAAUAAGUAACAAAAAUUAAAAUAAAAUAAUCAUAUGCAUUGUGUUAGUCUAAAAAUGUAAUUGAUAAUACGAUUACUAAAAAAAUAACAAGAAAAAUAAACCAUAUACAAUUUUUUUAAUUGUUCUAGUUCAUAUUUAUUGGGUUAUUCCCUCUUUAGUAUUUAAAAUAUGCACCGUAUUAUCAUAUGUUGGUCUUUCCUCUUUAACUGAGUUAAUCAUCAUUUGAAUUUGUAUCUUUAAGAUUAUCAAGAUGUUCUUCUUCCAUGUACUUUUUGAAAUAUAAAUUAUCUCAAUUCCACCUAUGAUUAAAAUUGUGAAAUAUGCAACAUGCUAAUACGAUCCAACUUUUUUUUAUAUGUUAUACAAAGGUGAUGUUGUUAAUAUGAUAAAUAUUUUUUCAGAACAACAAAUACCUUCUCAACCGCAUUUUGAAGCCUUAAAUGUUUCAAAUCAAAGUUUUAUUGUGCUUGUGUUUAACAUUAUUUUCUCAAAUGGUAUCAUACACCACAAUAUAUUGUAAGAAACUUUUUUAUUUGCAUAAUUAACACCGACCUUAUAAUAUUUAGACUCACAAUUAGAGGUGAUCAUGGUCCGGGACUCAGCUCGAGCCCCUCUACAGCCUCUACCUCAGCCUUUAGUACCCGUCUGCGGAUACCUCAUGCACUCAUCGUAGAAUUCGUAGCUUAUCUGUGUUAACAGUUUUAUGAAUCAAUUACAGUUUUGAUAUCUAUUAGUAGAUAUUUUAUGCAAAAUAGUAUCAGAAGUUUAGAGUUUGUUAACACGAAUCGCAGACUUGCUAUAGUUUUCAGUUUCGCUACCGUUUUUAGUAUACUCUAUCUACAGUGUUCUCAGUAUAGUGUACUACCUAUAGUAGUUUCAGAACAUGCUACUCAUAUUUUCAAAAACUUACCAAAGUUUUUAGAACAUUUACAAAAUCAGCGCCGAAGACUCAGUGUACCACAUACUCAGUCAAAAAUAUUUCAAACCAUUUAAAAAUCAUCUCUUUAAAACCAAGUUUUAAAACCCAAACCCACAGCUAAGUAUUGCAACCUGGCUCUGAUACCACUAAAUGCAACACCCUAAACCCGGCCUAGAUGUUAUGGUCGAAUCUGGCGAUGUCACAUGGAAAGAGAUUCAAAGAUAAUAUUGUCGAAUUUAAAAACCGUUACAGUAAGUUAGCUUUUAUUUAAUUCGAAAAAAAACUAGUUGAUUUACUUUAAAACUUGUCUCUUAUUGAAAGCUUUUUUAACAAAUUAAUUUAGGGAAAAUCGUUUCUAUUUACGAAGAACCUUAGUUUUUUAGGAAAAAAAUCGUGUUUUGUGGAGUUGCAGUUUUUAAAAAAAUCCAUAAAAAACAGUAUAAAGUCCCAAAUUUAAAGCCAUCCAGUUCAUAGUCUAGAAAAUACAUCAAAAACCUCAAAUAAGUAAUAAAUUCUAGACAUUAUGGAAAAUAGUCUAAAAUUUACGUGUGGCCACCGUUGAGUCCUCCGCUGCACCGACCCGUCAAGUUUGGGGAUUACCUGUAUAGAUUAAAAAAAGAAAGGGUAAGUUUUCGCAAACUCAAUGUGUAAUCCCCACAGAAAACAUGCAUACAAAUAAUCAAUAUAAUUCAGUUAGAUACAGUUCGAGGCCUGUGUCCAUCACAGAAUCAGUUUGGGCCUUAACCCAUUCAGAUACAGUCUUAGAAAUGCAUUAGGACCUUGGCCCAUAUCAGAUACAAAAUGCAGAUACAGUAAAUCAGAAUCCUACCCACCAGCCUCUACACACCAUCUCCGUCCAACCCUACACACCAUGUGGGGAUUAAAUCAACCCACUCAUCCCUACACACCAUGCUGUACCGAAAUGCGGCACAUAAUCAUAAGGUUGCAGCUGAGCUGCCAGAUAACAGACUUAAUAGCCUUUCAGACACUUUCUUCAAAUAUCAUCAACCUACCCCGAUGCAAUGCAGCAUACAAAAUAUGUCAUGCCAUUUGCAAUUAAUAGUACAUACAUUCAGAUAUCAUAAGUCAUGCUCGGUAUAGAAAUCACACAGAUCACACAUAUAGGGGUCUAAGUAAAGCUUACCGACCCUUCAGUAGGUCCAUAGUUGACUUGGGCGACCCGUGCAACCUUACAGAACUUUUUAGAAAAAUAGGCUCACACGCCCAUGUGGCCCACUCGGCCCAAAUUGGCCUUGGCCACAUGAUCCAUUUUUAAUGUAACUCGUGCUAGUUAAUUAUUCAUAUAUGUUUUCACUAUUUACUUAUAUGUUCCUUCAAAGUUGUCUACUUGAGUCACUGUUACUAAAUUAUUUAUAUAUUGAGCUACAGAAUUCCGAAUUAAAAUCUACUUAAUGGUUUUGAAACUAGACUCAAAUACCUUUCUACCAUAAAAUUUUCAAAAUUUUUUGUUCUGCCAAUAAGUACAGUAAAAUCUUCAAACUUACCCAUGUUCUGCUGUCUGACAGCUUCUUCCUUUCUUUGCUAAAAAUUAAUUAUCUCUUAGUAAAAAAUUUGGAUGAUGUUUCAAUUUGUUUCUAUUGAAAAUAGUCUCAACAAUAAUUUAAAUAUGUAAAUUUUAACCCCCAAUUAUUUUUCUCCAAUUUUCACGAUUUUCCAAAGUCAGAGCAGGGGAACCCCAAUUCAUUCUGACCUUGUCUCACAAAGUUUAUUAUGCCUUUCUCAUGAAUUCAUUCUGAUGUAAUUUACCCAACAAUCAAAUAAAAGCCUACUGAACAAGAGUAAGGCCUAAUUCAUUCAAAAUACUAAAAUUUUCUCAAGCGAAGGCUCGAACUUGGGACCUCCCAGACACUUUCAGAACACAUAACCACUAAAGUUGACAGAUAUUUGUGUCAUAUUUUCAUAACAACGAAAUUAGAAAUUUUUGGGCGUUAUAAAAGUUGAGCAGAUUGAUGAAAAACAAUCUCAUAAUCAAGGGUACCACAUAAAUACCGCAAGAUUCAUUUUAAUGUAACCAGGUGGAUAGCAGUAGGCGCAUGCAUGAACUAACAUAUGCGAUUUAACGCGUAGGCAAUAUCAGGUCGAGUAAAGACCACAUACUGUAAAGCACCUACAAGACUUCUGUAUUUAGUAGGGUCAUGAAGAUGAUCCCCAUCAUCCUUAGAUAGAGGAGACGAAGUAAUCAUAGGAUUAUGAACAUUCUUUGCAUGAGUCAUGGAACUCCUAUCUAGCAGAUCGUGAAUGUGCUUUCAUUAGCAUAGAUGAAGACACCCUUCGGCGGAACGAGUAACCUUAAUCCCUAAAAAAUAAAGGAGAUCACCCAUAUGUUUAAGUGAGAACUCCUUAUUCAACUACUGAACAAAGAUAUUUAUACAGGUAGACAUGCUUUCAGUAAUGAUAAUAUCAUCCACAUACACAAGAACAUAAAUAGUGGAGUUAGGCGUGACUUUAAUAAACAAAGAUGUAUCAGACUUUGAUAGAAGAAAACCAACAAAAAUGAGAAAGCACUUCAAUUUAUCAAACCAAGCACGCGGAGCCUGACGUAGUCCAUACAAAGCCUUCUUCAGACGACAGACCAAAUGUUUACCAUUAGAACCAUAUUGAACAUACCCUAGAGGUUGCUGCAUAAACACUUCAUUAGUAAGAUCACCAUUUAAAAAGGCAUUAUUCACAUCCACCUGACGAAGUUGCCAACCCUUGGAAACAACAAUAGAUAGUAUGAUUCGAAUAGUAGCAGGUUUUAUUACCGAACUAAAUGUUUCCUUGAAAUCGCACCCAGGUACCUGAGAACAUCCUUUAAUUACUAACUAAGCCUUACGACACGCAAUCGUGCCAUCAAGAUUUUAUUUACUUUGAAAAGUCAUUUACAUCCGAUCACUUUACAAUUAUUUAGUAACGGAACAAGUUUCAGGUGGAGUUAUGAAUGAGGGCAUCAUACUCAGACCGAGCAGCGGCAAGCCAUUUGGUGGUAAAAAUGGCUUUCUCAAUCGUGUGAGGCUCAACAGAUUCAACAGACAGAGCCUUGGGCUUAAAAACGCCAGCCUUAGACCAAGUAACCAUCGGAUAAGUAUUUGUUAGGUGCAAAAGAGCUGACGAAAUAGUAGGAGAAACUGGAAUAUUAGAAGCAAUCGUGGUUGGAUUGGGUACACCGUCAUUGUCAGGUAAAGAGGAGAGAGGACAGAGCUCAUGUGCAGAUCCCAAAACAACCUGAAGAACUUUAGAGUUAGAGAGAGAGGGACAUAAACCAAGAGGUGAGGUCAACGCAAGAGGUUGAGCGGAUGAGGACUCCUUGGGUCGAGAGCAGACAGGUUGAACAAGAGGAACAUAUGUUGGUGAGAGAGAUUGACCUAAUGAAGAUCUGGAACCUCCCGUAACAGACAUAGGAAACAGAAAAUGGUGUUCAUCAAACACAACAUGAUGAGAAAUAAUGACCUUACCAUCCGGUGUGAGACAUUGAUACCCUUUAAGUUAGGAACUAUAUCCUAUAAACGUAUAAGGUUAAGAACAAAAAUCUAACUUGUGACGCAGAAAGGGACGCAGAUACGGAAAACAACAACACCUAAACAUUCGUAAAUGAUCAUAUGUGGGAUCUUGUCUAUGCAGAACCUUGUACAGGGAUUGUCCGUUCAAAACCGAGGUAGAAAGACGAUUGAUGAGAUAAUAGCAUAAAAAAUGCAUUGCCCUAAUAAUCUAUAGGAAGAUUUGUUCGGGCCAAAAAUGUAAUACCCAUGUCAACAAUAUGCUGGUGAUUGCGUUCAGCCACCUCAUUCUGUUCGGGCGUAUGAAGAUAGGACAGUCUAUGAAUUAUCCUUGAGUCACCAACACUGACGUGAAAGUGCAAAACUCUCCUCCCCAAUCACUCUGAAAUUGUUUGAUUUUUUCCCAAAUUGAGUCUUGAUUAAUUGUUGAAACUAAACAAAACAAUCCACCGCCUAAGACUUUUGACGAAUAAGAUAAAUCCAAGUAAAGUGAGUGCACAUGUUAAUAAACGAGACAUAAUACCGAUUACGUCCAUAGGCAACUGAUGUAGGUCCCCAUAGUCGAAGACCACCAAAGUAAAAGGAUCAGUAUAUUCAGUAGUAGGGGUUGGAAAAGACAGUUUAUGAGACUUCCCUUUUUGGCAUACAGUAUAAACAUUAUCAAGACAAACUUUAUUGGAAGCAAUAUUACAUUUAUCUAAAACAGAUUUAACAAUAGAAGCAGAGGGAUGACCAAGACACUUGUGCCAUAAAGAAAAAUUAUCACAGCUAGCAGUCUGAGUCUGAAGUCCAAUAUUGGCAAUAAAAGGAGCCACAAUAAACGGAACAGACGCAAUCGACGGAGAAAAAUAUUAGAGCCCAUCACUAAUGUGGCCCCUCAAUAAAAUUUCCUGAGUCUUGAUGCCCUUAACAACACAAUAAGUUAGAUGAAAUUCAAAAAACACGUUAUUGCUAGUGGCAAACUGAUAUACAGACAGUAGAUUCUUCUGUAUAGUCGGUACACAUAAAACAUUAGAUAAGCGAAGUAAUUUAUUCUAUGAAGAAAACACUGAAUUUCCAACAGAUGAGAUCCUGGUGGGAGUCUCGUCACCCAUUAAUAGAGAGGAUGUACCUGAGUAAGGUGUAGAGUCAUUCAACAUAAAGGCAUCACGACAUACAUGGUGUGUAGCCCUUGAUUUUGGAUACCAGGAUGCAGUUCUGAUGAGUAUAGAGAUAUAGAAACCAGUAUCAUCAAGGUUGGACCUAAAUUGAGUGGCGUGAAUAUUAGGAUCAAUAGAAUUAGAUACAUCGGACGCAUGCAAAUCGGGUAGACGAGUGAGCCCAAUGCACGGAUCAGACUCAGUGCAAACAUGAGCCCUCAGUUUGGUCCGCCAAGGAACAGACGGCCCAGACGCAUGAUAAUCACCGUCACCGAAAUGCCCAAUCUCGCGUCCAUGUCCAAGAGAAUUAGAAAACUCUACACAAUUGGAUGUUGGCCCAUUUGGAAAAUUAGUAGCCUGCGGCCCAAGUAAAGUAAACGUGCCCCCAAGUUCCUAGUUUGAGCUAGAUGGCCUGGCACGCACGGGCUGACCAGGAUAAUAGCCAUAGUCAUACGGCCUAGUAGCAGCAGGCCCGAACCCAGCAGCAGCAGCAAAACUGCCAAAUUAUGAGUCCUGCCUAGGCACUAAAGGAGAAGACUCAUGCCUAGGCCCAAAUUGCAACAUUGCCCCAGCGGUAUUAUGCCCAAAUCCAUCAUCAAAGACUGCAAAGGGGUUAGAAACCCUAGUGGACAGCCUAGGCAUGUGAGGUGUAGCACAAAAUUUUUGCCAGAGAAUAAACCAUACGGCACUGUCGUCGAAGGGCCAUCAAACCCACCAGGAGUUUGCGACGGAAACAAAAACCCAGCAGUCGAGACCUGACUCAAACGACUGACCGAGAGUUAAAGCCUGAGCCACCGAUGGUUGUCCAUCAUAAUCGCGAUUAUAAUGAUAACAACAUCACUAGGCUAAAUGCCCAAAUCGGCCGUAAAUAUGACAUUGGAUGCAGGAACGAAAUCCUUUGCCACGACCGCCAGACAGAGGAGGCCACCAUGAACAGAAUCCACCAUCGGUGGUAACGGAACAGACUCCACAAGAUUUGCAUGAAUCAACAGUUCUUGAACUGCACGCAUCUGUCACGUCUCAUAUUCUAAUAACAAGUCAACAAGACGUUGAAAUGGAAGAGUUUCAAACGAGAACGAUGCUAAGGUAAGCACAGCAUCAAACUCCAGAGGUAGACCUGUAAGGACAAUCUUAACCUUUUCUGCCUCUGAGAUCCGAAAGCCAGAAGCCUCGAUCAAGGCACAGGUAUUCUGAAUUUUUGCUACAUAUUUUUUGAUUAAGAGGUUAUCUUUCUUAAGUGAGUAUAGAUCGUGACAAAUGCGAGAUAAUUUUGCACCUGUGACUGCUGCAAAGAGACGAGUGGAAGUAUUCCAAACAUCACACGCCGUUCAAGCAUCUGUAAAUGAGGAUAAUAGUGAAUGAUUAAUAGUGGAGAGUAACCAAGAGGCAAGUAACCUAUAAUGUUGAACGAACGCCGAGGCAUCCGGAUUUGGAACAAGAGAUCCCUCUGGUGACUGUACAAAACGCGGUGGAGCAGGUAACGUGCCCUCCAAAAAACCAGUCAGUUCGUAAACUUCAAUGAUCAGGUGAAUAUGUUGCUGCCAUUGAACGAAAUUUCCAUCAUCCAAUUUAACAGUGUCAUGGCAAGGGAAGGAUUGAACGAUCCGAACACCAGUGGACGCCGAACAGCCAUGCUCGACAGAGGCAGAGUCAGUAGAAGUAGUGGUAGUCAUGGGAGCAAACGAAGAUCAGGUCUCCAGCACCAAGGCGACUGAUACCAUGUUAAUAUCUACAGUAAGCUAAGUAAAAGCUAUAUCGUGUAUUGAAAAAGGUAUUCUGUAUUAUUUAUGUAUUAUCUUCAUUGAAUUGUACAACACUAGUAUUUAUAGAAUAUGUGAGCUAGUUGUUGCUAGUAACUGUUGUUAACAACAUAACAGUUUUGAAUAACAGAUUAACAACUUACAAUAACAGAGUCGUUACCAUUAUACUCUAACAAAGUUGGAGGGGCAAAAAAAUCAUUAUGCCAAUAAGUAUAUUAUUUUUAUACUUCUUGGCCAUAACUUUUCACAAAUAAAUAUAUUAUAACACUUUUAUAACAAUUUUUUUUCAUAAUUUUAGACUUUUUUAGGAUUUAAAUAAUUUUUUUUGUUAUAACUUUAAAAAUACCCAUUAUUUUUAUAAUAUAAGAAAAUUUUGGUAAUAAUCAUCCCAAACUCUCAUACAUGUUCAUGUUUUUAUAACUUGUAUAAAAAUAAUUUUUAAAAAUUAGAUUGUGAUGUGAUUAUUUGCGUAAUUAUUUCCAUUCUCACUCUCUCCUUAAAAAUCAAAAAGUGUAAUCGUGAUGCUUCAAUUACAUCCAAUUUAGUAAAAUUCAUUUUAACUAUUGCUAGUAUUCUUUUUAAAGAAAUAAUGUAAUUUUAAUUGUAUAUAGAAUAUUUACCAUCACAGUUAUAAUUUAUAAUGCAUAUAGAAUAUUUUAUAUUAUGCUCUUAACUUCUCAAAAAAUGUAAUUAAAUAAAUUAAUCUUCCCAUAUAACAAAUUGCUAUUAUCGUUAAUAUACCAAGACAAUUUUUAGAUUAAAAAUGAAUUGGGAAGAAUUAAUGGCAAGUCAAUCUUGGAAUAUCAUUACAAACCAUUUUUUUAUGUAUUUUAUUAUUUUUAAAUAUAAAUAAUAUAUUUAUAAGUUACUUUGUAGUAAGUUGUAAUGGCAAUUUAUAUAUGUUUAAUAUUUACUUUUUAUUUUAAUAUCUAUUAAAAUUAUGAUAAAAAUUUUAAAAAUUGAUUAUUGAGCUAACUUUUUACAAUCAUUUGUACAAAAAUUUAUUUUACAAACGCCGUUGAACUUGUUGAUCUUAAAAACAAAUGACUGAUGAAACUAAAAAGAAUUAUUUGAAAUAGGAUUUGUAUGAUUUAUAUAAUAAAAUAUAAUUAUAUAAUAUCAUUUAUAUAUGAAAUUUGCGUCCUUAUAUUUAGAAAAUAAAUCCUAUAUUUUAUUUCAUAUUUGAGAAUCUAAUUUAAUUUCCCCUCAAUAUUAUUCUUAAAAAUAUUAAAAAUAGAAAUAAUUUAAUAAAUUUUAAUUUAUAUAAUAUUAUAAUCCAAUGUAUCACAUUAAGCAUAGUUUUUUUUAAAUGAAAUAUGUUUAUGUUAUAGUUAAAGAUAUUAUAUUAGGGAGAAUGAUAUUAUUGUUUUAUUAGUUAUAUAUUGAUAAAUUUUUUAAUUUAAAUUGAUAUUAUAUACAAAAAUUUUAUACACAAUGAGCAAUAUGUUCUUUGUUGUGGUGAAUUAUAAUGUUUAAAUUCGUGAUAUAAAUAUCAAUGUAAUAUUUGAGUCUGAUUAAUAUGAUGUUCAUAAAAGAUAUCAUAUUAGUGAAGAUGAAGUGUAAAAUCAAUUGAAAAUCGAAGCUUCGAUUAAAUUGUAUAGAUAUAAAUUUAUUAUAUAUGACAAUCCAAUAAUAUAUUCUGCGAUUCAUAUAAUGUAUGAUGAUAAUGUAUAGAUAAUGAUUGUGGAAGGGUUGAGCUCGACAGCAAUGAAGAAGAAUAUGGAUCCGCGAUAUUCUAAAACCGAAAAAUCUAUAUUGUGAUGCUGUGCAAAAUAAUAGGGGUGAGCAAAAUUCGAUUUGAUUCGAAAAAAAAUCGAAUUUUGAGUUAAUUAAAUCGAGUUAUUCAAAUUAUUCAAGUCAACUCAAAUAAGUAAUUCGAGUUUCGAGUUCGAAUCGAGUCGAAUUUUACAAUUCAAAUAACUCAAAUAAUUCGAAUAACAUAUUGGUAUAAAUACCCUUUUGGUCUUUGUCAAUUUUAAAAUGAGCAAAUUGACCUCUCUCUCAAUAAAAAUUACAAAAUAAUUUUAAAAUUUCAAAAUAUUUAUAAAAAUUCCAAAUUUAUAUUUCUUAAAAAUUAUAAAAAAUUCUAAAAGUUCUAAAAAGUAUAUAAAGAAAGUUAAAAAAAAUUAAAAAUUUUCUAGAAUAAUAAUUUUGGCACAUAAAUAAGUUAAUUAAUGAUUCAAGUUUAUCGCACUAAAGUAAUUUUUUUUAUUUUGCUUUGAAAUUUUUUUCAAAUAUAUAUGGUUUCAAAUUUAUGUGCUAUAAUAUGAAAUUAGUUAUAGUAUAACAAGAUUUUAAUUUAAUAUGUUUAAUUUUUUAAUUUAACUCAAAUAAUUUUAUUCGAAUUGACUCGAAUUUCAUUUUACUCAAUUUAAUUUGAAAAAAUUUAAAUCGAGUUAAAAUGAUAAAAUAAGACUAAUUAACUUAAUUAACUUAAAAAAUUUUCAUUCGAUUCGAUCGAAUACUCACUCUUACAUAAUAAUGUACCAAGAGAGGCCAAAGUGUGGAGGUGCAAUAAUUACACAACUCAACUAUUUUGCAAAACUGUUUUUUAAAACUCUAAUAUAUAGAUGAUAAAAAAAAAAAGCCCUAGCCACUUGACAAUUUUUAACGAAAAGAGAAAAGGUUAGGGUAAGUAUAAUACACGUCACGUUAUUCCAGACAAGUUUUGCUUGCAGACACAGUUUCUUGCCUGUGAGUCGGUGACCCAUCUCAAAAUAUCACCCGUAACAUCUUUACCCAAUCACGCGGCCGCCUCCUAUUGGUUUGUCUCUUUGCGCAGCAAUACCCCACCCUCCCUACGUCCAGCUGUCUCACUACUUCAUAACAAUUGUAUCAUUCAAUUAGUUAUUGUAGGUUUAAUUUUUUCCAACCCCUUUACUCUUUCAGCUUUUAAAUUUUAAUCUAUCACCUUUUAAUUCCCUAUCUCUCCUGCUUGAUUUAAAAAUUAAAAUUUAAUUAAUAACAUUUCCAUUCAAUUUAAAUAUAUUAUUAUUUUUAGAUCAAGUCUUCGAAUAUUAAAAUGAUAUAUAUUCAAAUUUAACCAAGCUUUUGUGAAUUGGACUUUUAACUUUUAAAUAAAAAUGAAGAGAAACUAAAAUUUUAAAAUCAAAAGUAGAAAGCCUAAAUUUCAAAACCCCAACGAUAGAAUUAAACAUUUAUUAUAAUAUUAAUUACUAAGGUACACUAUACCUAAGUCACUAAAUUAUUAGUAAAUUUAUAUUUUGGUCACUUAACUUUAAAAAAUUACAACAUGGUCACUGAACUAUUUGAAAGUAUUUAUUUAAGUCAUUGGGUUAUUAAGUAUUUUUUUUAAAGUUCGGCUAGCGAGCUCCAAGCAAUGAUUCAACGGUUAGUACAAUGGAUUAGUACCUAUCAAAUAGUAGAACAUACCUCAUAUCCAAGUCAAUCUAAUAGUCAAUGUAAGAGAUCGGAGAAGAAAACUGUUUGAAUUUUGAUUCGUAAAUUCAUAACAUUCAAAGUUAUUCUAUGAAAAUAAUUAAAUUGUUGAAGAGAAGGAGAAUAAGAUCUUUUGAUUGGUGUAGACCGUGUGAAUAAAGAAAGCCAUAUAACAGAGAUUUAAUAUCUCAAUGAAUUAAAUAAAAACUUCCGAAUGAUUUAGUGACUAUUUUGUAACUUUUUAAAGUUAAAUGACUGAAAUGUAAAUUUAUUAAUAGUUCAGUGACCUUGGCUGUAGUUUACCCUAAUCAGGUAAUGUAACAGCAAAUUACAUGGUCAUGAAUGUGGGCCCCAAUCCAGACUGUCGAGUCUUGAUCGCCACAUUACAAUGUGUCUUUGUUUGAUAGUUUGAUGACGGUGGGCCCCGAAAUAGCUUCUCAUCCAACGGCUAUUUCUGAUCCAAACACGUUCCUAACUUUUUCUUCUUUUCUUUUUAUAAUCAUCAUUUUUUCUGAUUUUCUCUCCCUCAUUUAUUUAUAUAUUUAUUGAGAGUCUGUCAUCCCGUUGUCAUUAGUUUCUGUUACUACUUCACUCUCCCUCUGUCUUCAAGAAAUGGAUCGUAGAAGUGCAUUUGCCGUUGCUUUGAUUUGCUUUGUGGUGACCGCUGUCGGUGGUCAAUCUCCGGCAGCCUCACCUACUAAAGCUCCGCCGGCAGCGACUACUCCUGCCACUGCUCCCGCUACUGCCCCUGUUAGCAAACCUAAAUCACCGGCUCCAACUGCUGCCCCUACCACUUCCCCACCAACUUCUUCACCACCGGCUGCGGCUCCGGAGAAGUCUGCGGCGGUUCCAGCCCCAUCUAAAUCUGCUCCGGCUUCUUCUCCUCCGGCUGCUGCUCCGGUGAGUUCUCCACCGGCUCCAGUACCUGUGAGCUCUCCUCCAGCCAAAUCGCCUCCCGUUGCUGCACCGACGACUCCACCAGAGAGCUCGGCCUCUCCUCCGGCUCUUGUUGCGGCACCAACUACUGCUGAGGUUCCGGCCCCAGCUCCAAGCAAGAGCAAGAGCAAAAGCAAGAAAUCCAAGAAACACCAUGCUCCGGCUCCUUCACCUGAUAUGCUUGGACCUCCCGCUCCACCAACUGGAGCUCCUGGACCUAGCCUCGAUGCUUCCUCUCCCGGUCCAUCUGUCGCUGCCGAUGAGGUACAUUCUCUUCUCUUUACUAACGCUUCAGUAGCUUACAUCAUAUAACAAUGCGCUUUCAGAUCUGAACUUUUACACUGCAUAAAUGUAGAGAGAUCUUGUUUUUCUUUUAAUCGCGUCUAAAGGAUGCACCGUUGAGCUAGUUCAUUUACUUUUCUGAAAAAGGACCGACCAAUGGAUCUUUUUUUCAUCUUAAAACUAUAUUUAUUUGUAACAUUUAAAGAGUUAUUAUUAACAAAUGCAGAGUGGAGCAGCGGCAAUGAAGAACAUGAAGAAGAUAAUUGGAGGGUUGGCGUUGGGAUGGGCAGCCAUUGCUUUGAGCUUCUAGAUUGGUUUUGAUCACAUUCCACAUUCUGCGUUCUAAUUCUUUGGUUGGUGUACUGAGAGGCGGAAACUCUAGUUUUUUUUUCCUAUGUAAUUUCCACCAUUCUUUUUUUUUCCCCUUCAUUUACCCAUUUUCUGUCUUUUAUUUCUCUAUUAUAUUUUAAUAAAAUCACAAUUUAUUUUACUAAUACCAAUGCUAAUGAAUCUCAAGAUCAUUUGUGCAGGUUAAACAUUGUAAAAGUAACAAAACUGAAACGAUCAUAUAGCUCAUGAACCAUUACAGGGAAAUUGGUUAGACAAUGUUCCAAUGAAAGUACAGGAAAGCUUAAAAUGGCAGCAAAUGCAUAUCUUACAAAUCAAUCUGAAUAUUUAGUUUAAUCUGAAAGAACAGUUUUGAGUAAAAAGUAAUUAGGCAUGGGGGCAUAAACCAGGAGAGACGUUAUUCAUUGGUUCCUAUCGUCUUCUCCCCCGGCUGCAAACACCAGACAGACUUACAUGUAUGAAACUUCUUACAUUCACAAUUGCCACGUAUCAGAAGAAGCACUUCACAAGAGGACUCUACAAAUUAAAAAUUCUCUUUUUCUCUACAACAAAACCCUGUAAAAUGUAAGCCCAAGCAGCAAACCUUCAAAAUGCAUUAUUUGAAGCAUCAAAUGUAUACAAACUGUAUUAGACCCAAUGCCUACUUUCAAGCGUGAUUCGUCCUUAAUUCUAAAGCUUUUAAUUUUAUUGGUUAAUAUUGGUGUUUUUGUCGUUUUCCCAUCAACCCAAAGCCAAAAGCAUGCAAAUUCCCUUCACUUGGAAUAUGGAGAUGGUAAAGUAGAAAAGUAUUCAUAAUACGCUAUGAUAUAUAUAUGCGUGUGUGCGUGUAAAUGGCCACUAUGAAGCGUGUGUGCGUGUAAAUGGCCACUAUGAAGCUUUCUUAUUUGCUCGAAAAAGAAGGCAAAUAUUAAUUAAUAAUAUAUAAUAUUUGGCAUUCAUUAAUAAGACUCAGUGAAAUAAAUAAUUAAGAUAAUAUAAUUAAUUUAAUAUAUACCAGGUUGAUUUAUCCAUUUAUGCUGAAAAAAAAAUCUACAUUUAAUUAUCUAUGUUUUUUUUUUAAUUUAUCAAUGUUGUUUUGAAGAGAGAAAGGAAAGCACGUCUUACAUGGUGCAUUUUCACUGUCUAUGUCAUUGAAAAUGCGUCUUAUAGGGCGUAUUUUUAGCUACGUCAGCUGAACAUGUGUCAUGUUUUCACAAAUUGACAAUUUAGCUCUUUUGAUCAGAUGGUUAAGCGUUAGUGUUUUUAGUCUUUAAGUCUUAGGUUCAAUUCCUCUCCUAUUCAUUUUUAUAAUUUUUAUUUCAUGUUAUUUUAAGUUUUUUUUAAUUAAUAUUUUUGACACAUUAGCUCUUUUGGUUAGAUGAUUAGAUAAUUGUGAUUUCUUCUUUCAGUCCUAAGUUUGAUUCCUUUUAUAAGAAUUUUAAUAUGUAUUUUUUAUUUCAAUUUUUUUAUUAUUUUUAAUUAAUAUUUUUAAUUAAUAAAUAUAUUGUUUUCAAGUUUUUUUAUUUUUUAUUUAUCUUUUUAAUUAAUAACUCUUUUAUUUAUAAAAUCAAAUAAUUAUUGAAAAUAUCAUUAUUUUUAGUAAAUAUAAUUUUUAUUUGUGUAAUUUUUAUCUUUCAAUCCAUAUCAUGAAUGUAGUAAAUUGACAUAUUAUAUAUUUUUGUAUAAUGUAUGAUGAUGAUGAAUAGAUAUAAAUUUAUUAUAUAUGACAAUCCAAUAAUAUAUUCUACGAUUCAUACAAUAUAUGAUGAUGAUGUAUAGAUAAUGAUUGUGGAAGGGUCGAGCUUUAUAGCAUUGAAGAAGAAUAUAGAUCGGCGAUAUUUUAAAACCGAAAAAUCUAUAUUGUGAUGCUGUGCAAAAUAAUAGGAGUGAGCAAAAUUCAUUUGAUCCAAAAAAAUUAAAUUUUGAGUUAAUUGAAUCGAGUUAUUUGAAUUAUUCAAGUCAACUCGAGUAAGUAAUUCGAGUUUCGAGUUCGAAUCGAGUUGAAUUUUACAAUUAAAAUAACUCGAAUAAUUCGAAUAACAUAUUGGUAUAAAUACCUUUUUGGUCUCUGCCAAGUUUGAAAAUGAACAAAUUGACCUCUCUCUCAAUAAAAAUUACAAAAUAAUUUUAAAAUUUCAAAAUAUUUAUAAAAAUUCCAAAUUUAUACUUUUUAAAAAUUAUAAAAAUUUCAAAAAAAAAUCUGAAAAAAUAUAAAGAAAGUUAAAAUAUUAAAAUUUUUCUAGAAUAAUAAUUUUGGGACCUAAAUAAGUUAAUUAAUGAUUCAAGUUUAUCAUACUAAAGUAAUUUUUUUAUUCUGCUUUGAAAAAGUUUUCAAAUAUAUAUGGUUUCAAAUGUAAGUGUUAUAACAUGGAAUUAGUUAUAGUAUAACAAGAUUUUAAUUUAACAUGUUUAAUUUUUUAAUUUAACUCGAACAAUUUCAUUCGAAUUGACUCGAAUUUUAUUUUACUCAAUUCAAUUUGAAAAAAAUUUAAAUCGAGUUAGAAUGAUAAAAUAAAACUCGUUAACUCAAUUAACUCAAAAAUUUUUAAUAGAGACAGUGGAAUACUCACUUUUACAUAAUAAUGUACCGAGAGAGGCCAAAGGGUGGAGGUGAAAUAAUUACACAACUCAACUAUUUUGCAAAACUUUUUUUAAAACUCUAAUAUAUAGAUGAUAAAAAAAAGCCUUAGCCACUUGACAAUUUUUAACGAAAAGAGAGAAGGUUAGGGUGUUUAAGUAUAAUACACGUCACGUUACUCCAGACAAGUUUUGCUUGCAGAGACACAGUUUCUUGCCGGUGAGUCGGUGACCCAUCUCAAAAUAUCACCCGUAACUGCUUUACCCGGUCACGCGGCCGCCUCCUAUUGGUUUGUCUCUUUGCGCAGCCAUAGCCCACUCUCCCUACGUCCAGCUGUCUCACUACUUCAUAACAAUUGUAUCAUUCAAUUAGUUAUUGUAGGUUUAAUUUUUUCCAACCCCUUUACUCUUUCAGCUUUUAAAUUUUAAUCUAUCACCUUUUAAUUCCCUAUCUCUCCUGCUUGAUUUAAAAAUUAAAAUUUAAUUAAUAACAUUUCCAUUCAAUUUAAAUAUAUAUUAUUAUUAUUUUUAGAUCAAAGCUUCGAAUAUUAAAAUUUAACCAAGUUUUCAUGAAUUGGACUUUUAAAUAAAAAUGAAGAGAAACUAAAUUUUUAAAAUCAAAAGUAGGAAGGCUAAAUUUUAAAACCCCAAAGAGUAUAGGGGUUGGGGAUAGAAUUAAACAUUUAUUAUAAUAUUAAUUAGUAGGGUAAACUACACCUAAGGUCACUAAAUUAUUAGUAAAUUCAUAUUUUGGUCACUUAACUUUAAAAAAUUACAACAUGGUCACUGAAUUAUUCAAAAGUAUUUAUUUAAGUCAUUGAGUUGUUAAGUAUUUUUUUAUGACGAUUGAUACAAUGGAUUAGUACCUAUGAAGAGUAGAACAUACCUUGUAAGAGAUCGAAAAAGAAAACUGUUUGAAUUUUGAUUCGUAAAUUCAUAACAUUUAAAGUUGCUCCACGAAAAUAAUUAAAUUGUUGAAGAGAAGAAGAAUGAGAUUUUAUGAUUGGUGCAGACCGUGUGUAUAAAGAAAGUUAUCCAACAGCGAUUUAAUAGCCCAAUGAAUUAAAUAAAAUCCUUCGAAUGAUUUAGUGACUAUUUUCUAACUUUUUGAAGUUGAACGACUUAAAUGUAAAUUUAUUAAUACUUCAGUGACCUUGGGUGUAGUUUACCCUACUCAGGUAAUGUAACAACAAAUUACAUGGUUCAUGUAUGUGGGCCCCCAAUCCAGACUGUCGAGUCUUGAUCGCCACAUUACAAUUUGAUGACGGUGGGCCCCGAAAUAGCUUCUCAUCCAACGGCUAUUUCUGAUCCAAACACGUUCCUAACUUUUUCUUCUUUUCUUUUUAUAAUCAUCAUUUUUUCUGAUUCUCUCCCUCAUUUAUUUAUAUAUUUAUUGAGAGUCUGUCGUCUCGUUGUCAUUAGUUUCUGUUACUACUUCACUCUCCCUCUGUCUUCAAGAAAUGGAUCGUAGAAGUGCAUUUGCAGUUGCUUUGAUUUGCUUUGUGGUAACCGCUGUCGGUGGUCAAUCUCCGGCAGCCUCACCUACUAAAGCUCCGCCGGCCGCGGCUACUCCUGCUACUGCUCCCGCUACUGCCCCUGUUAGCAAAUCUAAAUCACCGGCUCCAACUGCUGCCCCUACCACUUCCCCACCAACUUCUUCACCACCGGCUGCGGCUCCGGAGAAGUCUGCGGCGGUUCCAGCCCCAUCUAAAUCUGCUCCGGCUUCUUCUCCUCCGGCUGCUGCUCCGGUGAGUUCUCCACCUGCUCCAGUACCUGUGAGCUCUCCUCCAGCCAAAUCGCCUCCCGUUGCUGCACCGACGACUCCACCAGAGAGCUCGGCCUCUCCUCCGGCUCCUGUUGCUGCACCAACUACUGCUGAGGUUCCGGCCCCAGCUCCAAGCAAGAGCAAGAGCAAAAGCAAGAAAUCCAAGAAACACCAUGCUCCGACUCCUUCACCUGAUAUGCUUGGACCUCCCGCUCCACCAACUGGAGCUCCUGGACCUAGCCUCGAUGCUUCCUCUCCCGGUCCAUCUGUCGCUGCCGAUGAGGUACAUUCUUUUUCUUUACUAACGCUUCAGUAGCUUACAUCAUAUAACAAUGCGCUUUCAG
RNAcentral lists this long non-coding RNA (30880 nucleotides) under Gossypium barbadense (sea-island cotton). Its description in RNAcentral is "long non-coding RNA (GBAR_LNC021690)". The record is from RNAcentral. Lineage: Eukaryota; Viridiplantae; Streptophyta; Magnoliopsida; Malvales; Malvaceae.